This 856-nucleotide ribosomal RNA is filed under the name uncultured bacterium. RNAcentral describes it as "bacterial SSU rRNA". It matches the Rfam family "Bacterial small subunit ribosomal RNA", at positions 94 to 954 of the family's 1533-position model. The record is from RNAcentral.
CACGGCGCACGGGUGCGUAACACGUGGGCAAUCUGCCCUCCGAUGGGGAAUAACCCCGCGAAAGCGGGACUAAUUCCGCAUAACAUUCCCUGGACUCUGGUUCGGGGAUUCAAAGCAGCAAUGCGUCGGAGGAGGAGCCCGCGCCCGAUUAGCUAGUUGGUGAGGUAACGGCUCACCAAGGCAAUGAUCGGUAGCUGGUCUGAGAGGAUGGCCAGCCACACUGGAACUGAGACACGGUCCAGACUCCUACGGGAGGCAGCAGUGGGGAAUCUUGCGCAAUGGGCGAAAGCCUGACGCAGCGACGCCGCGUGGGGGAUGAAGCUUCUCGGAGUGUAAACCCCUUUCGACCCGGACGAAUGACCCGCAAGGGUUUGACGGUACGGGUAUAAGAAGCCCCGGCUAACUACGUGCCAGCAGCCGCGGUAAUACGUAGGGGGCCAGCGUUGCUCGGAAUUACUGGGCGUAAAGGGUUCGUAGGUGGUGCGGCAAGUCGGAAGUGAAAUCUCUGGGCUUAACUCAGAGGCUGCUUUCGAAACUGCCGUGCUCGAGUGCGGGAGAGGCCAGUGGAAUUGCAGGUGUAGCGGUGAAAUGCGUAGAUAUCUGCAGGAACACCCGUGGCGAAGGCGGCUGGCUGGACCGCAACUGACACUGAGGAACGAAAGCUAGGGGAGCAAACAGGAUUAGAUACCCUGGUAGUCCUAGCCCUAAACCAUCAGGACUUGGGGUGGCCCGCGUAGGCGGGUCGUCCCGCAGCUAACGCGUUAAGUCCUGCGCCUGGGGAGUACGGUCGCAAGACUGAAACUCAAAGGAAUUGACGGGGGCCCGCACAAGCGGUGGAACAUGUGGUUCAAUUCGA